This 460-nucleotide ribosomal RNA is filed under the name uncultured bacterium. RNAcentral's name for it is "partial 16S ribosomal RNA". It matches the Rfam family "Bacterial small subunit ribosomal RNA", at positions 338 to 795 of the family's 1533-position model. The record is from RNAcentral.
CCUACGGGUGGCAGCAGUGAGGAAUAUUGGUCAAUGGGCGCGAGCCUGAACCAGCCAAGUCGCGUGAGGGAAGACGGUUCUCUGGAUUGUAACCCUCUUUUUUCGGGGCGCAAAUGACGCCACGCGUGGCGUUCCGACAGUCCCCGUAGAGAACGCAUCGGCUAACUCCGUGCCAGCAGCCGCGGUAAUCCGGAGGAUGCGAGCGUUUUUCGGAAUUACUGGGCGUAAAGGGUGCGUAGGCGGUUUCGUAAGUCGUGUGUGAAAGGCGCGGGCUCAACCCGAGGACGUCAUAUGAUACUGCGAGACUAGAGUAAUGGAGGGGGAGCCGGAAUUCUCGGUGUAGCAGUGAAAUGCGUAGAUAUCGAGAGGAACACUCGUGGCGAAGGCGGGUUCCUGGACAUUAACUGACGCUGAGGCACGAAGGCCAGGGGAGCGAAAGGGAUUAGAUACCCUGGUAGUC